Molecule: ribosomal RNA, 467 nt
Filed under: uncultured bacterium
Lineage: Bacteria
Description: partial 16S ribosomal RNA
Rfam family: Bacterial small subunit ribosomal RNA
Source: RNAcentral
ACGAACGCUGGCGGCGUGCUUAACACCUUCCAGUCGCACGGAAAGGCCCUGCUUUUGUGGGGUGCUCGAGUGGCGAACGGGUGAGUAACACGUGAGUAACCUGCCCUUGACUUUGGGAUAACUUCAGGAAACUGGGGCUAAUACCGGAUAGGAGCUCCUGCUGCAUGGUGGGGGUUGGAAAGUUUCGGCGGUUGGGGAUGGACUCGCGGCUUAUCAGCUUGUUGGUGGGGUAGUGGCUUACCAAGGCUUUGACGGGUAGCCGGCCUGAGAGGGUGACCGGCCACAUUGGGACUGAGAUACGGCCCAGACUCCUACGGGAGGCAGCAGUGGGGAAUAUUGCACAAUGGGCGGAAGCCUGAUGCAGCAACGCCGCGUGCGGGAUGACGGCCUUCGGGUUGUAAACCGCUUUCGCCUGUGACGAAGCGUGAGUGACGGUAAUGGGUAAAGAAGCACCAGCUAACUACGUG